Long non-coding RNA from Anolis carolinensis (green anole), 1521 nucleotides. RefSeq lists it as uncharacterized. The transcript is spliced from 3 exons. NCBI's taxonomy places the organism in Eukaryota, Metazoa, Chordata, Lepidosauria, Squamata, Anolidae. The record is from RefSeq and is a predicted model, not a curated record.
UCUACACAGUAGAAUUAAUAUAGUUUGGCUUCAAGAGUUCAAUGCCAUGAAAGCUGUAGUUUUAUAUGCCUUUAGCCUUCACCCAUCUACGAAACCCAGAUAUCAUAACAUUGAGCAAUGAUGGUUAAAGUGGUGUCAGACUGCAUUAAUGCCACAGUUUAGAUGCACCCCUAGUAUCUGAGGGAACCAUGUAAACUGCAUUGGACACCUCUGACUGAAGCAGCAAUGUAAUAUGUAGAUUUACAUUAAAUGAAAAGGAAAGUAUACAGGGAUAUAGGAAUAAAUCCUUAGUAGGCAUACCAGAAGGAAAUACAUGCUCUCCCUGUUUAGUUGUGGUGGUUUAAAACAAAAUCUUUGGGCAAGGCCAAGAGAGAAGUGAAACAAAUUUUCCAUUACAUACAGAGAAAAACAAUAAUACAAUAGAUAUGAUUUCCUAAAUGAAAAAAUAAAAUAAAUCCACUUAUGGUGAGGCAGUGCCAUGGUAACUAGACUGAAGCUUGGGAAGUUAACUCUGGCAACUCAUGUAGAAAGGCUGGUAAUAACACUUGUUUCUAUGACAACCGGGGGAUGAUGCAGAGUUGGUAUUAACCUUUUGGCUGGAAGACUCAGUCCGUCCACGCUGGAGUGUACAUAAGUGGGUUAGCCAGUAUACUGGAAAAAAGUUUCCGGAACUGAAAUUUCUACAUGACCAAAGGAAACAAUGAACGACAUAGUCAAUCCCCUUAAGGAAGGGCAUAUCUGAUAUCAUCAGCUCUUCAGCAACCACAAAUGGCUGCAGAACAGAGGGAAGAGCAGUUCCUGCAGAGGGAAGAUCUUCAUCUUAGGAAGGCACAAGCACAAAGAGACACCUUUCAGCAUGCUUCACCAUGAACCCAGCUGGGUUGUCAGUCGCAAAUACUCGAUUCAGUGAAAUGACAAGCACCACAGGGACGCCUAUAUUCAGCUCAGAAGAAAACCUUCAGUAAAUAGUUCAUAUCUGAGAACGCAUCUGUGCAUCAAUCUGCAACAAUUCAGACACCUGAUGGAGUCAACACGUGCUCACAAAAAAUGUCUGCCACAACAACUCUGUAGUGUUUAAAUUAGGCUCCAGGAGAAAUACUGUGCAAGGGGAAGAAAUUGGGUUCUAUGACCUCCCCACGACCUGGGACCCCAACAAGACACAGAUCACAAUGAAAGGUCAGGCGAGGCCAAAACGUCAUUACAUGUUCAGCACAGAGUCAAGUGUAUGCCAAGAUGGGCAAAGGAACAAAGAAACCAAUAAUAGUUUUAUAUCUUCCUUCUGCAUUCACCACCCAUUAAUAAAAUUACCAGACUUAUAUUUCUUAAGAAUCUUUCAGAAAUGUCCAGUAAGCCUCUCAUUACAUGACACUAAUUUAUGCACAUUUUGAAAAAUCAUAUAAAAGUGCAUGUGCCACCAUGGGGUCCUGCCUAUUAUAUGCUCCUCGUCAUGUGUAUUAUACUUUAGGUUCUCAGAUUUGUUUAACUCAAACCGGUAAUGAUUAUUAGAAAGUUGCAUUUAGA